Molecule: ribosomal RNA, 253 nt
Filed under: uncultured bacterium
Lineage: Bacteria
Description: partial 16S ribosomal RNA
Rfam family: Bacterial small subunit ribosomal RNA
Source: RNAcentral
GACGAACCGUGCGAACGUUGUUCGGAAUCACUGGGCUUAAAGGGCGCGUAGGCGGGCCACCCAGUCCGGGGUGAAAUCUUUCGGCUCAACCGGAAAAGGGCCUUGGAUACUGGUGGUCUGGAGGGAGGUAGGGGCAUGCGGAACUUCCGGUGGAGCGGUGAAAUGCGUUGAUAUCGGAAGGAACGCCGGUGGCGAAAGCGGCGUGCUGGACCUCUGCUGACGCUGAGGCGCGAAAGCCAGGGGAGCGAACAGG